RNAcentral lists this ribosomal RNA (468 nucleotides) under uncultured bacterium. RNAcentral's name for it is "partial 16S ribosomal RNA". It matches the Rfam family "Bacterial small subunit ribosomal RNA", at positions 28 to 507 of the family's 1533-position model. The record is from RNAcentral.
GACGAACGCUGGCGGCGUGCUUAACACAUGCAAGUCGAACGGAAAGGCCCUGCUUUUGUGGGGUGCUCGAGUGGCGAACGGGUGAGUAACACGUGAGUAACCUGCCCUUGACUUUGGGAUAACUUCAGGAAACUGGGGCUAAUACCGGAUAGGAGCUCCUGCUGCAUGGUGGGGGUUGGAAAGUUUCGGCGGUUGGGGAUGGACUCGCGGCUUAUCAGCUUGUUGGUGGGGUAGUGGCUUACCAAGGCUUUGACGGGUAGCCGGCCUGAGAGGGUGACCGGCCCCAUUGGGACUGAGAUACGGCCCAGACUCCUACGGGAGGCAGCAGUGGGGAAUAUUGCACAAUGGGCGGAAGCCUGAUGCAGUACCGCCGCGUGCGGGAUGACGGCCUUCGGGUUGUAAACCGCUUUCGCCUGUGACGAAGCGUGAGUGACGGUAAUGGGUAAAGAAGCACCGGCUAACUACGUG